RNAcentral lists this ribosomal RNA (465 nucleotides) under Veillonellaceae bacterium oral taxon 155. Its description in RNAcentral is "bacterial SSU rRNA". It matches the Rfam family "Bacterial small subunit ribosomal RNA", at positions 28 to 477 of the family's 1533-position model. Lineage: Bacteria; Bacillati; Bacillota; Negativicutes; Veillonellales; Veillonellaceae. The record is from RNAcentral.
GACGAACGCUGGCGGCGUGCUUAACACAUGCAAGUCGAACGGAGCUAUUUAUUUCGGUAGAUAGCUUAGUGGCAAACGGGUGAGUAACGCGUAGGCAACCUGCCCUCAGGAUGGGGACAACGGCUCGAAAGAGCCGCUAAUGCCGAAUGACGUAACUCUUCCACAUGGAAGAGAUACUAAAGAUGGGUCAAACCAUCGCCUAAGGAUGGGCCUGCGUCUGAUUAGCCAGUUGGUGAGGUAACGGCUCACCAAAGCGACGAUCAGUAGCCGGUCUGAGAGGAUGAACGGCCACAAUGGGACUGAGACACGGCCCAUACUCCUACGGGAGGCAGCAGUGGGGAAUCUUCCGCAAUGGGCGAAAGCCUGACGGAGCAACGCCGCGUGAGUGAAGAAGGUCUUCGGAUCGUAAAGCUCUGUUGUCGGGGACGAAAGAGUAGACGAGGAAAUGCGUCUACUAAGACGGUA